GAAAACGUCACAACUCAAUACAGAAAUUCUCAAAAUCCGGGUGUCACUGAGUACAUGAGCAUCGACACAAAUACAGUCUGAUACACUGUCUAAGAAAGUAGAACUGAAUAAAUACAACUGAGGGAUAGGGGAGGAGAGUCAAGGUCUAUGGAUGCCAAGACAGCUACCUCGAUAAUCUCCGAACAAUUGAAAACUCUGAGAUCAACAACCACCUUGUCUGAAAAUACCUAGAUCUGCACACGAAGUGCAAGGUGUAGCGUGAGUACAAAAAACUCAAUAAGUAACAAGUCUAGCCUUUGGGCUAAAAGCAGUGACGAGCCUCACAGGUACAGUCCAAUUACAGAAAUACAAUACAGAAAUGUAGACAUUCUUUCAAGUUUAACAGAUAAAGCCCAAACAGAUAAGAUAGGUCAAGUACAACUGAGAUAAGAAUGAUACAUAUCGAUAUCUACAUGUGAGUUAUGUAUGCCAACUGAAGUACAAAACAAUGAUGAAAUCAUAUGCAUACUCUCAGAAUAUCAAUCACUCAGUCCUCCCAUUCAUUCCAUCCUCACAGUCACUCAAUCCUCCCAAGCGCGCUCCCAAUCGCUUGGCGCUCGCGCUCGGUACUGGCACUGGCACUCAGUAGGUAUCUAUGCUCACUGUGGGUGUGCAGUCUCCGGAGGGAAAGAUUCAUCCCAAGCGCUAUAACAAACCAAUCAUGGCAUGAAUCAAUAAAGCCUGUUGUGGCGUGCAACCCGAUCCCAUAAAUAUCCUCACAAUCAGUCCCUCGACCUUACUUAGUAAUCAAUCUCUCCAGUCUCUCGGGCUCAUAGGAAUCAUGAUAAUCAACCCAAACAAUGAUGAUAUAAUGUAUCAAUAAAUGGCAACAGAGACUGAGAUAUGAUAUGCAAAUGAUAGCUAUGACUGAGUACAUAAUUGCAAAUUAAGUAAAUAAUUCAACAUGCAACACGACCUCUGUGAGUCCCAACAGUAACAACAUAUAGCCUAAGCAUGAUUUCUAACAUGACUUUCAGCUCAAUUUUUCUAACACGAGAAGAAUAUACGAAUAACAACAAGGUUAUUCAACUAUACAGUUCCAUGGAAUCGACCAAGUCACAAUUCCUAUGGUGUACGCCCACAUGCCCGUUACCUAGCAUGUGCGUCACCUUAACACUAAUCAUAUAACAUGUAAAUCGGGGUUUCAUACUCUCAUAACCAAGUCUAGAAGUGUUACUUACCUCAAACCUCUACUCCAAUAAGCCCUUGUGUCGCGAAUCAGCCUCCAAAUGCCUCGAAUAUAGCCACAAAUAAUUUGAUACAAUCAACUUAAGCUAUUGGAAUCAAUUCCGUAUGAAAAUGCUAAGUUCUAUAUCAAAAGUUAAAAAGUCAACUCAAAAGUCAACCCCCGGGUCCACGUCUCGGAAUCCUAUAAAAGUUACAAAAACUAAAUACACAUUCAACCACGAAUCCAACCAUAUCAAAAUUACUCAAAUUCGAUACCAAAAUCUCGCUCAAAUCCCCAAAAUUCGGACUAAGAAGUUUUCUCCAUUUUCCUCCAAUUUUUCAACCCAAAUCACUAAUUAAAUGAUGAAAUCAAAGAUAUAAUUAUGGAAUUUAACCAAAACUAAGUAAGAAUCACUUACCUCAAUCACUCCCUUGAAAAUCUCUCAAAGAAUCGCCUCCAACCGAGCUUCCAAAAUCAAAUUGUGAAAUAAACUAAAAACCUCAUUUUUGAGACCUUAAAUUCUGCCGAGAUAUCCCUUAAUUGCGAGCGCGGAAAAUGCAUCACGAUCGUGAAGUGCAAACUAAGCUGGACAAUAAUUAACCCUAUGCGAAUGCGACAAUCCCCACGCGAACGAGAAGCACUGCCUCCUCAGACCUACGCAAUCGUGUCCCUCUUCAUGCGAUCGUGAAGAACAAACGCGCAAACUCAGCUCUACCUCAUUUCCUCUUCGCGAACGAGGUCUAGCCCACGCGUUCGUGAUUCUCUGCUUGACCAACCUAAGUGAUCACAGGCUCCAUCUCGCGAAUGUGUAGAGUAAAAAUCACAGCUUCCCAAACAAGCCUUCGCGAUGGCGGACCUAUCCAUGCGAUCAAAUAGAAGGAAACAAGACAUGUACACCAGAAAAAACUUCAGCAAUCUCCCGAGUCCAAAAUUUGAUCUGCUAACCAUCCGAAACUCACCUGAGGCCCCCGGGACCUCAAUAAAACAAACCAAAAAGUCCUAAAACACGAUACGAACUUUGUCGCGGCCUCAAAUCACAUCAAAUAGCAUCAAAAAUAUAAAAUCACACCCCAAUUGAAGCCUAUUGAACUUAUGAACUUCUAACUUCUAUAUUCGAUGCUGAAACUAAUCAAAUCAAGUUCGAUUGACCUCAAAUUUUGCACACAAGUCAUAAAUAACACAACAGACUAACUCCAACUCCGAGAACCAAAUUCUGAGCCAAGUAACCACAAAGUCAACUAUCAGUCAAACUUCUCAAUUUCCAACUUUUGCAAUUUCAAGCCUAAAUCAAUUACGGACCUCCAAAUUACUAUCCGGACACACUCCUAAGUCCAAAAUUACCCAACGGAACUAUCGGAACUAUACAAACUCCAUUUCGGGACCAUUUACAUAUAAGUUAACAUUCGGUCAACCUUUACAACUUAAGCUUCCAACCUUGAGACUAAGUGUCUCAACUCAUUCUGAAACAUCCUCGAAACCGAACCGACUACCCCGACAAGUCACAUAAUGACAAUUGAGCAUACAAUAAGCAGUAAAUGGGGUAACGAGGCUACAACACUCAAAACGACUAGUCGGUUCGUUAUAUCAUCCCCCUCUUAAACAAAUGUUUGUACUCGAACGGGUCUAGAAACAUAUUUGGAGUCUCAAAUAGGCGUGGAUAUAUGCUCUGCAUCUCCCACUUGGUCUCCUAAGUAUCCUCCUCAACUGGCUGACCUCUCUACUGUACCUUCAUUGAAGCUAUGUCCUUUGACCUCAACUUUUGAACUUACUGAUCCAAAAUGGCCACUGACUCCAUAUCAUAAGUCAAAUCACCAUCCAACUUAACCGUGCUGAAAUCCAAAACAUGAGACGGAUCGCUGACAUACUUCUGAAGCAUAAAAUCAUGAAACAAUGAUGAACACUCGACAGACUAGGUGGCAAGGUAAUCUUGUAAGCCACCUCUGAAGCACUUCAAAUGGGCCAAUGUACCGAGGGCUCAACUUGAUCUUAUUCCCAAACCUCAUAACACCCUUCAUGGGUGAAACUCUGAGUAGUACCUUCUCCCCAACCAUAUAAGCAACAUCACGAACCUUUCGAUCGACAUAGCUCUUCUCUCUAGACUGCGCCGUGUAAAGUUGAUCCUGAAUCAAUUUAACCUUGUCCAAAGAAUUCUGAACUAAGUCAGUACCCAACAUUCUAGCCUCACCUAUCUCAAACAAUCCCAUCGGAGACCAACACCGUCUCCCAUAUAAAGCCUCAUACGGAGCCAUUUGAAUGCUCGAUUGGUAGUUGUUGUUAUAGGCAAACUCUGCGAGCGGCAAAAACUGAUCCCAAGAACCCCCAAAAUCUAUGACACAAGCGCGUAACAUAUCCUCCAAUAUCUCUCUGACUGUCCGUCCGUCUGAAGGUGGAAUGUUGUACUCAACUCAACAUGGGUGACCAACUCUCGUUGCACUUCUCUCCAAAACUGUGAUGUAAAAUGCGUGCGCCGAUCUGAAAUGAUGGACACAGGCACACCGUGAAGGCGAACAAUCUCGCGGAUGUAGAUCUCAGCCAACUGCUCCGAAGAAUAAGUAGUCCCGACUGGAAUGAAAUGCGCGGACUUGGUAAAUCGAUCCACAAUCACCCAAAUAGCAUCAAACUUCCUCGAAUCCCGUGGGAGCCCAACUACAAAAUCCAUGGUGAUACGCUCCCAUUUCCAUUCCGGAAUCUCAAGCCUCUGAAGCAAUCCGCUCGGUCUCUGGUGCUCAUACUUCACCUGUUGGCACUUUAGGCACCGAACUACAAACCCCACUAUAUCCUUCUUCAUCCUCAUCCACCAAUAGUACUGCCUUAAGUCCUGAUACAUCUUCGCGGCACCUUGAUGAAUGGAAUACUGCAAACUGUGGUCCUCCUCCAGAAUCAACUCACGUAGCUCAUCUAUAUUAGGCACACAAAUCUGACCCUGCAUUCCUAACACCCUAUCAUCCCCAAUAGUAACCUCCUUAGCAUCAUCGUGGUGAACCGUGUCCUUAAGGACAAGUAGAUAAGGAUCAUCAUAUUGGCGCUCUCCGAUGCGAUCAUAUAAGGAAGACUGAGAAACCAUAUAAGCUAGAACCCGACUGGGCUUCAAAACAUCUAAUCUCAUGAACUGGGUGGCCAAGGCCUGAACAUCAUCUGCAAGUGGUCUCUCACCAACAAGAAUAAAUGCAAGGCUACCCAUUCUCACUGCUUUUCUAUUCAAGGCAUCAGCCACUACAUUGGCCUUCCUGGGAUGAUACAGAAUGAUAAUAUCAUAGUCCUUUACCAGGUCCAACCAUCUCUGCUAUCUCAAAUUAAGAUCCUUUUGUUUGAACAAGUGCUGGAGACUCCGAUGAUCCAUAAAUACCUUACAAGACACACCAUAGAGAUAAUGCCUCCAAAUCUUCGAUGCAUGAACGAUGGCUACCAACUCCAAAUCAUGGACAGGGUAGUUCUUCUCAUGGGGCUUCAACUGAUGCGAAGCAUAAACAAUCACUCUACCACCUGCAUCAACACACACCCAAUACUAAUCCGAGAAGCAUCACAAUACACUGUAUAAGAGCCUGACGCUAAAGGCAAAAUUAGGACUGGAGUUGUGGUCAAGGUAGUCUUGAGCUUCUAAAAGCACUCCUCACACUCAUCUGACCACCUGAAUGGAGCACCCUCCUGGGUUAAUUUGGUCAAAGGCACUGUAAUAGAUGAGAAACCCUCCACGAAGCAUCGAUAAUAUCCGGCCAAGCCGAGAAAGCUUCUAAUCUCUGUAGUUGAAGACGGUCUGGGCCAGCUCUGGACCGCCUUUAUCUUCUUUGGAUCCACCUUAAUCCCCUCACUGGACACCAAGUAAACCCAAGAACACCAUUGAACUAAGACAAAAUUCACACUUUGAGAACUUGGCAUAAAGCUUCUUCUCCCUUAGCUGCUGUAGUACAAUCCUCAAAUGCUGGGCAUGCUCCUCCUAACAACGUGAGUACACCAGGAUAUCAUCAAUGAAUACUAUGAAAAAUGAAUCAAGAUAUGGCUCAAAUACAAUGUUCAUCAGAUGCAUGAAUGCUAUUGGGGCAUUGGUCAGCCCAAAAGACAUCACAAGGAACUCAUAGUGACCAUACGGAUCCUAAAUACUGUAUUUAGAAUAUCCGAGUCCCGAAUCUUUAACUGGUGAUACCCAAACCUCAAAUCAAUCUUACAGAACACCUUCGCUCCCUUAAGUUGUUCAAAUAAAUCACCAAUGCACGGUAAAUGAUACUUGUUCAUCAUUGUAACUUUGUUCAACUGCCUAUAGUCGAGGCACAUCUGCAUAGUACCAUCCUUCUUCUUCACAAACAGAACCGGUGCACCCCAAAGCGACACCCUAGGCCUAAUAAACCCCUUAUCAAGAAGCUCCUGAAGUUGCUUUUUUAAUUGCUUUAACUCAGCUGGCGCCAUACGAUACGGAGUAAUAGAAAUGGGCUGAGUGCCCGGCACCAAGUCAAUACCAAAGUCAACAUCCCUGUCGGGUGGCAUGCCCGACAGGUCUACAGGAAACACAUUUGGAAUGUCUCGUACCACCGGAACAGAAUCAAUAGUAGGGGUAUCAGCACCAGCGUCCCUCACAAAGGCCAAAUAUGACAGACACCCCUUCCCUGCCAUCCGUUGGGCCUUCAAAUAUGAAAUCACUCUCUUGGGAACAUACUCUAGAGAACCUCUCCACUAGAUCCUUGGCAACCCCGGCAUCGCUAAUAUCACGGUCUUAGCGUGAUAAUCCAGAAUAGUAUGACAUGGAGACAACUAAUCCAUACCCAAGAUCACAUCGAAAUCAACCAUACUAAGCAAUAAAAGAUUAAAUCUAGUCUUUAAUCCCGCAAUAGUCACUACACACGACCGAUAUGCACGGUCCACAACAAUAGUAUAAUCCACCGGCAUAGAUACAUGAACAUGUGAAACUAAGGACUCACAUGGCAUAUCCAAAUAACGAGUAAAAUAGGAUGAUGCAUAGGAAUAAGUAGAACUAGGGUUAAAUAAUGUGGAAGCAUCUCUGUGGCACACUGAGACAAUACUUGUGAUCACUGCAUCAGAAGCAACAAUAUUUUGCCUAGCAUGAAUAGCAUAGAAUCGGGCCUAACCACCACCUGAUCGUCCUCCCCCUCUAGGGUGACUUCUAGCUGUCUGGGCCCCACCCUAAGAUAGCUAGGCGGGUGGUGAAGUAACUGGUGCAAAAGUCAUAGCCUGACCCCUCUACUGAACUAGACCUCCCAGGCGACGAGGACAUUGUCUCCAUAUAUGCCCAAACACUCCACACUCGAAGCAACUCCCCGAUGGUGGUGGUAGGGACUGAAUUGGGCCCCGAGUACCAGAGUAACUGCUAGAAGGACCUGACACAGAUGAACCCCGAAAUGAUGGAGCAUGGGAUAAACUCUGAGCUGGGAGAGCACUAUACAAACCAUGGCUAGCUGAUGCACCACGAAGAACUGGAUGAGCCAUUUGAGCGGGCCUAUAAGGAUGACCCCUGUUGUGGUAGGACUGCCACCCAGAAGGAACACCGCUGAAACCACCCGAACCACGAGGCCUCUUGGUCUUCCUCUCCUCACACUCCUUGCUACGGACCAACUCUAGCUGCUGAUAAAUAUCAACCACCUCGUCGAACCUAGCACCUAAUACCCUCUCCCGAGUCAUAACAAAAUGCAACUGAUAGUGGAGGCCAUCAAUGAACCUUAUAAUCCUAACCCUCUCAGUGGGAACCAACCAAACUGCGUGACGAGCCAACUCUAAAAAUUUCAUCUCAUACUGGGUCACAAACAUGCUCUCCUAAUGUAGCUGCUCGAACUGCCUGUGCAGCUCCUCCCUACGGGUCUAUGGCACAAACUUCUCCAAGAAGAUAAUGGAUAACUCAUGUCAUGAAAGUGGUGCAACACCGACUAGUCUGCUUCUCUCAUACGCGUCCCACCAUCUGAAGGAAACCCCUAAUAGUUCGAAAGUAGUAAAGGAGACUCCACUAGUCUCCAGAAUACCCCGCCAUGCGAAGAAUCCGCUCGCACCUAUGCAAGUCCUAAGCAUCCUAUGACUCAGCCUCAUAGAAUGAUGGAGGCCUGAGCCUCCCAAAUCUAUAUAGCCUUUUCUUCUCCUCAUCAGUCAUAAUGGGACCCACCUGGGCCUGAGCAACUGCAACCGACUGGGCUUGUAGUACCCUCGGUGUUUGAAGUCCAUGCACCACCUGCUCUGGAGUACGGGCGGCGGGAGUCUGAGUACCUCCCCCUACCAGAGAAGUGGCUGGCGUAGUCUGAACAGAAACUGCCUGAGCAAGGCUAGUGCAAACAGUUAAUAUCUAAGCCAAACCUCCUGAAGACCUAGAAUCACAAUGGGCACAAGUGGUACCUGAGCUGGCCCCACUGGCUCGAUCACAUGUGGAACCUGCUCCUGAGUUGGAGCAACUAGUGGAUCUACAUAUGCUGCUCUAGCUACUGUAUGAGCUCUACCUCGGCCCCUACCGCGGCUCCUACCUCUCGUGGCCUUAGCUGGUGGUACUGGU
RNAcentral lists this long non-coding RNA (7688 nucleotides) under Nicotiana tabacum (common tobacco). RNAcentral describes it as "long non-coding RNA (NTAB_LNC018325)". The record is from RNAcentral. Lineage: Eukaryota; Viridiplantae; Streptophyta; Magnoliopsida; Solanales; Solanaceae.